AGCGUUGUUCGGAAUCACUGGGCGUAAAGCGCACGUAGGCGGAUUUCAAGUCAGGGGUGAAAUCCCGGAGCUCAACUCCAGAAUAGCCUUUGAAACUGGAGAACUUGAGUCCGGGAGAGGUGGGUGGAAUUGCGAGUGUAG
This 141-nucleotide ribosomal RNA is filed under the name uncultured Alphaproteobacteria bacterium. Its description in RNAcentral is "partial 16S ribosomal RNA". It matches the Rfam family "Bacterial small subunit ribosomal RNA", at positions 537 to 678 of the family's 1533-position model. The record is from RNAcentral. Lineage: Bacteria; Pseudomonadati; Pseudomonadota; Alphaproteobacteria.